This 69-nucleotide transfer RNA is filed under the name Caloperdix oculeus. RNAcentral's name for it is "tRNA-Val". Lineage: Eukaryota; Metazoa; Chordata; Aves; Galliformes; Phasianidae. The record is from RNAcentral.
CAAGACGUAGCUACAAACAAAAGCAUUCAGCUUACACCUGAAAGAUAUCUCCAAACGAGAUCGCCUUGA